This 1123-nucleotide long non-coding RNA is filed under the name Homo sapiens (human). Its description in RNAcentral is "HSALNT0013667". The record is from RNAcentral. Lineage: Eukaryota; Metazoa; Chordata; Mammalia; Primates; Hominidae.
GCUUAGAGCACGAUGUGUGGAGGAAGUGGGGGCUGCGUGAGUCCCUCCUUCUUGGCACGCUAGCGUUCUGAGGGGAGGGCUGUGCUUUAAACAUGCAGGCAUAAUUAACAGGACCUCUCCUUGUACAUAGCUCGAGUGUCAGUCUUACGGAAACGGAGCCCACCUGGCAUCUAUCCUGAGUUUAAAGGAAGCCAGCACCAUAGCAGAGUACAUAAGUGGCUAUCAGAGAAGCCAGCCGAUAUGGAUUGGCCUGCACGACCCACAGAAGGUAACCUCAGACUUGGCCACAAAGGCCCUCUUGGGAAAGCCAGGCUGGCAUCCUCUUUUUGGGGAAUGGCCUCCCGGCCUAUAACAAGGACACAGCGGGUGGAUCUUCUCCAGAUGUGCCUCCAGCUGACGGAGACCAAAGUCUCAAGAGGCAGCAGUGGCAGUGGAUUGAUGGGGCCAUGUAUCUGUACAGAUCCUGGUCUGGCAAGUCCAUGGGUGGGAACAAGCACUGUGCUGAGAUGAGCUCCAAUAACAACUUUUUAACUUGGAGCAGCAACGAAUGCAACAAGCGCCAACACUUCCUGUGCAAGUACCGACCAUAGAGCAAGAAUCAAGAUUCUGCUAACUCCUGCACAGCCCCGUCCUCUUCCUUUCUGCUAGCCUGGCUAAAUCUGCUCAUUAUUUCAGAGGGGAAACCUAGCAAACUAAGAGUGAUAAGGGCCCUACUACACUGGCUUUUUUAGGCUUAGAGACAGAAACUUUAGCAUUGGCCCAGUAGUGGCUUCUAGCUCUAAAUGUUUGCCCCGCCAUCCCUUUCCACAGUAUCCUUCUUCCCUCCUCCCCUGUCUCUGGCUGUCUCGAGCAGUCUAGAAGAGUGCAUCUCCAGCCUAUGAAACAGCUGGGUCUUUGGCCAUAAGAAGUAAAGAUUUGAAGACAGAAGGAAGAAACUCAGGAGUAAGCUUCUAGACCCCUUCAGCUUCUACACCCUUCUGCCCUCUCUCCAUUGCCUGCACCCCACCCCAGCCACUCAACUCCUGCUUGUUUUUCCUUUGGCCAUGGGAAGGUUUACCAGUAGAAUCCUUGCUAGGUUGAUGUGGGCCAUACAUUCCUUUAAUAAACCAUUGUGUACAUAAGA